AGUGAACGCUGGCGGUAGGCCUAACACAUGCAAGUCGAACGGCAGCACAGUAAGAGCUUGCUCUUACGGGUGGCGAGUGGCGGACGGGUGAGGAAUACAUCGGAAUCUACUUUUUCGUGGGGGAUAACGUAGGGAAACUUACGCUAAUACCGCAUACGACCUACGGGCGAAAGCAGGGGAUCUUCGGACCUUGCGCGAUUGAAUGAGCCGAUGUCGGAUUAGCUAGUUGGCGGGGUAAAGGCCCACCAAGGCGACGAUCCGUAGCUGGUCUGAGAGGAUGAUCAGCCACACUGGAACUGAGACACGGUCCAGACUCCUACGGGAGGCAGCAGUGGGGAAUAUUGGACAAUGGGCGCAAGCCUGAUCCAGCCAUACCGCGUGGGUGAAGAAGGCCUUCGGGUUGUAAAGCCCUUUUGUUGGGAAAGAAAAGCAGCAGGUUAAUACCCCGCUGUUCUGACGGUACUCAAAGAGUAAGCACCGGCUAACUUCGUG
This 492-nucleotide ribosomal RNA is filed under the name uncultured bacterium. Its description in RNAcentral is "partial 16S ribosomal RNA". It matches the Rfam family "Bacterial small subunit ribosomal RNA", at positions 29 to 507 of the family's 1533-position model. The record is from RNAcentral.